AUGAUAAUGUGAGAAAAAAGAAUGUAUACAUGUUCGUGUAAAUGGGUCACCUUCUGUACAGUAGAAAAUUUACAGAACACUGUAAACCAGUUAUAAUGGAAAAAUAAAAAUCAUUAUAUAAAAAAGAUGACAGAAGCAAUGUGGUUUGAGUUUGGAGGUGGUCAAGAACCAGAUCACUGUGUGUGUCACAAUUAAAGAGAUCCUAGGAAUAAUGGGGGGUCCAUAAACAAUUAUAAGCAAUUAACUCUUCCUCAGAGAUAUGAGAAGAAUCAAGUGAUCAUGAAACUGAGUUUCUAAUCAUCUGAAUGGUUAAUAGAAGAAUUUGCAACUUCAUUUCAUUUUUAUUUCCUUUCUUUCUUUUUUUCUUUUUUUCUCUUCGUCUUUUUUUUUGGCCUCAACCACAGCAUAUGGAAAUUCCCAGGCUAAGGAUCUAAUUAGAGCUGCAGCUGCCAGCCUACACCACAGCCACAGCAAUGCAGGAUCUGAGCCACAUCUGCAACCUACACCACAGCUCACAGCAAUGCCAGAUCCUUAAUCCACUGAGUUAAUCUCUAACCCAUUGAGUGUGCCCAGGGAUCAAACCCAGGUCUUCAUGGAUAUUAGAAAGAUGCUCUGGCUCAUUGUACUGGUACUUUCUUUAGAAUAAAGUAGAAAUGGUUCAAUCAGGCCAAUAAACUCUCCCAACAUGUAAUUUUCAUCCCUGCCUUGGUGAGUAGUCUUAAAACCUCACGAUUCAUGUUAGAAAGUGAAGGUAAUUAUGCCUAUUGGCAACCACCUGUGGUUUAUCCCUGAUGCAUAAUUACCUAUGUUGUUCCAUUGGCCAGUGUUCUUUGCUUAAGAAAGGCUUCUAUUAGACCUUGGUAAGAAGCAUGAGCUCUCUUUUCUCCCAGCAGUCUUCCUAGGAAAGGAAGCAGUCUAGAUGGUGAACAUCUUGCUGUUCUAGAAUGACCUGCUUAGGGUCAUGUACAGUCCUCAUUCCUCCUUGUAGUAAAUGAUGCCUGUGUUUUCUAUUAGUUUCUCAUAAAUUAUGUCACACUUAGUGGUUUAAGUCAAUGCACACUUACUGCAUCAUAGUUUCCUUGAGUCAGGAUCAGGGCAUGACUUAGCUAGGUUCUCUGCUCAGUGUUUCCUAAGACUGCAAAAGUGUUAGUGAAGCUGCAUUCUUAUCCGGGGCCAAACUCAUGCAAAUUGUUGGCAGAAUUCAAUUACGGUUAUGUUAUUGAGGCACUCAGCUCCGAUAGGUUAUCCCUUGUCCAUAGCAGUUUAUAACAUGGGUGAUUGUUUCAAGAGCAACAGGAAAGUGUCUUGCUUUGAAUCUAUUCUUUUGAGGAAGGCUUGGACUCUCUUUUAAAAGUUAAGCCCUACUCAGGAUAUUUCUUUUGACCAACUCUAAAUCAACUGAGGACCUCACUCACAUCUAAAAAAAAAAAUCCUUUCAUUGUUCACAUCUAAUCUAAUCUAAUCACAGGAGAUUAUUAUACACACAAAUUUUAUUUAUAAUUUUUAUAAUAUUUUAUAAUGUUCCAUUAUACACACAAAUCCCAUACGUAUUCAAGAUGGGGGGAUUAUACAGGUUUUGUACACCAGGAGGUAGGAAUCUUGGGGCCAUCUUAGAAUUUGAGGUAUGUGGGGCACUGUUUAUCAUUUGGAGGAACAAGGGUCGCUGUGGUAGGCCAAAUUCUAAGAAUUUCAUAUGUGGCUCCCAGGUUUAUUGCUUGGGCCACUUGGAGAGUGGAACUGUUCUCUGUUGUAGAGACAGGGGAGCUGCAUGAUUUUCAAAACCCAUUCUAACCCUAAUAUUCUUUGAGAAUUUGAUAAUGUGAUGUAAGAUUGGUUUGCAGAUAUAUUUAGCAGAAAUAAGAAAUAGAAUAUUGGGGAGUUCCUGUUGUGGCACAGAGGAAACAAAUCUGACAAGCAUCUAUGAGGACGCAGGUCUAAUCCCUGGCCUCUCUCAGUGGGUUAACGAUCUGGUGUUGCCAUGAGCUGUGGUGUAGGUCACAAACACAGCUCAGAUCUGGUGUUCCUGUGGCUGUGGCUGGUAGCUAUAGCUCCGAUUUGACCCCUAGCCUGGGAACCUCCAUAUACUGUGGAUGUGGCCCUAAAAAGACCAACAAAGAAAGAAAAAAUAAAAGAAAUAUAAUAUUGAUUUAUUUCACAGGAUAAUUUUAUUAUAUUUUCAAAAAUCAGUGUUUGGAAAUGUAGCCUGUAUAUCUCUGGAUUUCUGAUCCUUUAAUCUCUAAAAGAAAGCAAAAAAAAAUUAAUGGAUAUAUUCUUCACAGUAUAGGAAGGUGAUAUUACACUGACUAACCUUCAAUUCUAAAUACCUUUAGUUACAUUUUUCCCAGAAAUUUGGAUGUGUAGAAAUUAAGAUUUACUCUGAGCCUAAAUAGGUGCCAUACACCUUGCUUGAUAUUGGGGGAAAAUUAAUGCUCCUGAUCUAAAGAAGCUCAGAGGCAAGUUUAGAGACAGACAUACAAGUCAGGGCUUAUGGUUUAGUCUGGUAAAAGACAUAAGACUGGAGUGGUGAAACAAGGGAAAAAACAAGGAACUCUACCUUUGGGGUCAUAAAACGUUUUGCAGAUGAAGACUUCUUUUGAAAUAACCUUAAAAGAUAUGUAGGAAUCUGUCAGAUGGACAAGAUGGAAAAAGGGAAUUGCUGGUCAAUUAAAUGUAGUGGAAUCUCACCUACUGCUAAAUAACAGAUUGUAAACUUCUUAUAAGUAAUAAGCACUCCACUUUAUUUCAUCUAUCACAGCCCCUAUUAUUACUAUACCUCAAAAAUGUGUAAUGGGGAGUUCUCUUUAUGGCUCAGUGGUAAUGAACCCGACCAGUAUCCAUGAGUUUGAUCCCUGGACUCACUUAGUGAGUUAAGGAUCUGCCGUUGCCAUGAACUGCAGUGUAAGUCACAGACACAGCUUGGAUCUGGCAUUACUGUGGCUGUGGCUGUGUGUAGGCCAGCAGCUACAGCUCUGAUUUGAACCCUAGGCUGGGAACGUCCAUUGCCACAGGUGCG
This 3013-nucleotide long non-coding RNA is filed under the name Sus scrofa (pig). RNAcentral describes it as "lncRNA (ENSSSCG00055008086.1)". Lineage: Eukaryota; Metazoa; Chordata; Mammalia; Artiodactyla; Suidae. The record is from RNAcentral.